AGAGUUUGAUCCUGGCUCAGGACGAACGCUGGCGGCGUGCUUAACACAUGCAAGUCGAACGGAAAGGCCCUUCGGGGUACUCGAGUGGCGAACGGGUGAGUAACACGUGGGUGAUCUGCCCUGCACUCUGGGAUAAGCCUGGGAAACUGGGUCUAAUACCGGAUAGGACCGCAUGCUUCAUGGUGUGUGGUGCAAAGCUUUUGCGGUGUGGGAUGAGCCCGCGGCCUAUCAGCUUGUUGGUGGGGUAAUGGCCUACCAAGGCGACGACGGGUAGCCGGCCUGAGAGGGUGACCGGCCACACUGGGACUGAGAUACGGCCCAGACUCCUACGGGAGGCAGCAGUGGGGAAUAUUGCACAAUGGGCGCAAGCCUGAUGCAGCGACGCCGCGUGAGGGAUGACGGCCUUCGGGUUGUAAACCUCUUUCAGUAGGGACGAAGCGAAAGUGACGGUACCUACAGAAGAAGGACCGACCAACUACGUGCCAGCAGCCGCGGUAAUACGUAGGGUCCGAGCGUUGUCCGGAAUUACUGGGCGUAAAGAGCUCGUAGGUGGUUUGUCGCGUUGUUCGUGAAAACUCACAGCUUAACUGUGGGCGUGCGGGCGAUACGGGCAGACUAGAGUACUGCAGGGGAGACUGGAAUUCCUGGUGUAGCGGUGGAAUGCGCAGAUAUCAGGAGGAACACCGGUGGCGAAGGCGGGUCUCUGGGCAGUAACUGACGCUGAGGAGCGAAAGCGUGGGUAGCGAACAGGAUUAGAUACCCUGGUAGUC
This 770-nucleotide ribosomal RNA is filed under the name uncultured bacterium. RNAcentral describes it as "bacterial SSU rRNA". It matches the Rfam family "Bacterial small subunit ribosomal RNA", at positions 8 to 795 of the family's 1533-position model. The record is from RNAcentral.